GCCCUCAUGGCCCUGCAAGCGUCCCCUCAGAUGCUAAAAAUGCCCUUUUGCUGCCGUGAUGUGAGCCUGGUGCCUGCAAAACAACCCGGGCCACCUUCUGAUAGACAUUGAGAAAAUUCUUGGAUGCUCUUGCAACCCUUUCCUACAGCCCUGGGAACACUUCCUACAGCUUGUGCCCAGGAGUUCAGCUGCUGCCACUGACAGGGUGCACAGAAUACCACCCAGCAGAUGGAGGGAGCCCCAGCAUUCCACUCAGCUCUGGCUUCACGGGGCUUAAAAACCUCAUCAAUUUUUAUGUGAUUCAAGUCUAUUUUAUUGCAAGGAAGUGCUGCAGCAGAAGAGCCAGCUCACACCCUUCUGCUGAGAUGAGCUUCUCCUCUAGUGCCAUGCGGACAAAACCAUCACACAGUUUCAAUACCAAAGUUUUGUCAAAGUUGUAGUAAGUCCUCAAGGUUUGCUGUGUACUGUCCUUAACCCCUGCCCUCUCAGGUGGUCUUCAGUAGCUGUAAUGCCAGAUCCUGCCUGCUGGAUUGCCAGAAGAAGGGGGAAAUGCACUGCGGCAGCUGUGGUGUGGACAGGUCAUUUAUACCGUUUGGUUGAGAAGAUGCUGAGCAGUGAAACACUGAAAUAGGGCUGCUAGCAAAACAGGUGGGGAAUUUCUGUCCGUUCUUCCUUCCAUCUUCAUAGGGCAGCCAUGUUCCCCCCUCACUGAGUCUAAACUGCAGGUCAGGGGCAGGCACCAGAGAGCGUAACAACCUCACCUCCUGGCUACACAGCUAUUUCCAGGACAAUCUGUGGACAGCGUCCCCAAAACAUUUGCUAGGGUUUCAGCUUGGAUCACCAGGACUCUUACAAGUGUGGAGAGGACCCAAGUUGGUGCCUGGCUGCUUACUGAUAGCACAGUGUUUGCUCUGGGUGGCUCUCUGAGCAAUGCAUAAGCAGCCCCCCAGUGAGGCCAGGGCAAAGGAUGCUCAGUGCAUCAGGAGUGAAAAAGCACCCAGGGCGGGUAGGCAAAAACUUACAAGACAAAUGGGAAUACACAUUAUUCCACUCUCAUCACGUGGAAAACAAAAUCAUUCUCUUGGGCCACUCAAAUAGGUUUUGUUAUGUGUUAUAAAUGGAAUAUCUUCAAAGAGAUGUGACUAUCCAACACUGGCUGCCCCAUGCAGCUAGGCAUUUGUCUGCUUUUCCUGCCUUUUAUUACGCACAUCUGGAUAUCGCCCAGGCCCUGUAUGCAUGUUGCUAUUUGAAUUUCGGGGUGCAGUAACUACAAGUGGAGUUUUAACACACUUAGCAUUGCACCAACCCUGAUGUAAACAACAAAACCACCUACCUGUGGUUACAAGGAGCUGAGCCAGGUCAUAGGCAGAAAGGCAAGAACUCCGAGCACCUCAUUAAAACUGAACAUAGAUAAUGUUGCACUCUAGGCUAGAGGAAUACUGUGGAGGUGCUGGGAAGAAAUCUCUGGUCCUUCAUUAGCCCAUGGGCCUCUGCCAGCUGAUGCGGUUUUGCAAUAGCACCAAUGUUGGUGUGACCAUGAAUGCCAGUUGCUCUUUAGCUCAGUAAUUGUGUGUGUUUGGAGACAGAAAUAAAAGAUUAACUCUUGGAAAGGUGCUAUUUUCCAAAUGCCACUCAAAUAAAUGACAAAGAAAAGUACAUAAAUACGGCUGGUGACAAUUAGUGGUGUAAGGUGUUAAGAAUGUUGGAGAAAAUAUGUAUUCAGACCUAGAAGGUCUGUCUUUUUCUGUAUGAUUACUAUCUACCUGACUGCCUUCAUAGUAACAGCAUGUAAGGGACUGUCUCAAAUUCAGUAUGUGCUUCAUACCUUGGCAGGGAGCAACCUGGACAUUUCCACAUGAUUAAUCUUCAAAACAAAGAAAUAUAAUUGGCAUCUCUCUGAAACUGUACAUAAUCACUAAAAUGUGCAAAUCACUCCAGGCUGACUCUUCCCUAGCUCUGCAGUCGACAGAAGCGACUGCUUGAGUUGAACGGGUCAAAUAUGAAUAAUAACAGUGUUGUCAGGAUUUGAGCCUAACAGGCAGCCUGUCAGGACUUUAAAUAGAGAAUUUAACAGCAGAGCACCUGGGUAGUUUGGGUAAUACGGCUUUCAUGAAGGCUGCUUUCAUUAGCUGAUUUCUAGGCAACAGCACUAGAAAAGGGUUGUAAGUACCUCGAAGAAAGGAAACUUCAAGGAGUCAAAAGCCUAUGAUGUGAUAUGAAGCAGACUGAGGGGUGUUGGAUGUGAAUUACUUAUUUCUGCCUUAUCAACUAGGCACCUUUGGCAUUUAUUAAAUUUCCUUUCCCUUUGUAUAACACUUGUGCACAAAAUUUGUCAGGAGAACUAAUAAAGGUUUCAGUAUGUUACAACUGAGACACUGAGCACUGCUGGAAAUCCAGUAAGUGCUGUUAAGGAUUUGAAUAACACAGGUACAUGAAACUGUGAUUAAAAAUAAUUGAAAUAAAUGGUUUAUUCAGUUUUAUUAAAUUUAGAUUGUUCCUAGGAGUAUCAGGGCAUAUGCUCCUCAUCAUGCAACUUUGGCUUUCCCUGGAUUUCAGUUU
Long non-coding RNA from Neopsephotus bourkii (Bourke's parrot), 2559 nucleotides. RefSeq lists it as uncharacterized. Lineage: Eukaryota; Metazoa; Chordata; Aves; Psittaciformes; Psittacidae. The transcript has 3 exons. The record is from RefSeq and is a predicted model, not a curated record.